CUAGCGUUGCUCGGAAUCACUGGGCGUAAAGGGUGCGUAGGCGGGUCUGUAAGUCAGGGGUGAAAUCCUGGAGCUCAACUCCAGAACUGCCUUUGAUACUGAAGAUCUUGAGUUCGGGAGAGGUGAGUGGAACUGCGAGUGUAGAGGUGAAAUUCGUAGAUAUUCGCAAGAACACCAGUGGCGAAGGCGGCUCACUGGCCCGAUACUGACACUGAGGAGCGAAAGCGUGGGGAGCGAACAGG
This 242-nucleotide ribosomal RNA is filed under the name uncultured bacterium. Its description in RNAcentral is "partial 16S ribosomal RNA". It matches the Rfam family "Bacterial small subunit ribosomal RNA", at positions 535 to 776 of the family's 1533-position model. The record is from RNAcentral.